UCUACAAAUUCGUAGGGAUCAGAAGAUCUUUAAGAAAGUAUUAUCCUGUGGCUAGACAAUCUUCGAAAUCUGAAUGCAGUGACUGUUGCAUGAGACUUUCAUCCUCCGAUGCUCUUAACCACCAACUAGUGGUCCAUGGAACAGGACAAGCUACAGACAAAUCAACUUACCAACAAAGCCUUCAAAUAUCUGGAACAACUCCCACAGAAGAACUCUGCAGCAUAGUUCCUUGUAGCAAUGAACUGUCUAGCAUAUCUGCAGUUUCAGCAAUAUAUCUGUCAGACAUCUUUAAGGAAUAUGAACAGUUUUCAGAUUGUGAAUUUGGGAUUGCUGCACAACAGAUGUCUGAGGUAUCACUGCAAGAAAUACACUUUGAUGAACAGAGAGUGUUAGAAGACAGACAUGGACCUCCAAAAUUAUCUCCCAAGUCAUCCAGUGAAUCAGCAGUCAGAGUUCCAUCACCUCCACAGAAAGUUGAGUCCCACCAUCUGAGAGACCGCAUACAUG
This is a long non-coding RNA of Clupea harengus (Atlantic herring), 507 nucleotides long. RefSeq lists it as uncharacterized. The transcript is spliced from 2 exons. The record is from RefSeq and is a predicted model, not a curated record. NCBI's taxonomy places the organism in Eukaryota, Metazoa, Chordata, Actinopteri, Clupeiformes, Clupeidae.